UUUCUCAUUUGAAAAAUAAAUAAAAUUCCUAGAAGACGCAUUCUCUGAGCUCAAAUUCUUCCGCCGCGCCCGAUGAGCUGAAGAUGGAUAUAUCAAAUUCUCUGCUUUGUAGCCAGGGCUGCUUUGAUUCGGGGACAACGAGGAGGGUCAGCUGCUUUCGUAAGCUGGACGAGUAUUAUUCUUACGAGGAGUUGGACCAUGGGUGACAUGGACCAAAUGGUGGAGCGGAGUCAAGAUUUCAGGUAUUAUCCAUGCCUUUAUUGUUUAAACUUAACAAAAUCAUUGAUAUGUAUGUUUAGCAAUAGGUUAUUGAUAUUUCAACCCAGUUGGAUGAAUCUUGAUUAACUACAUGUCAAAUGAUAUUUGCUCUUUCAUAGAGCAGGAUAUGGGGCACUACACAAAUAUAUAGUUGCUUUUGCUGCAUUAGAUUCUUUCUUUGCUUUCCAUUUUAUAAAAUACGAGUAAUGAACUGAAAGUGCAAUGUCAUGGUCUUUUUUAACUUUUCGACCAUCUUUAAGUUAUGUUUCAUGUUUGAACGAGGCAUUCUUAUAUCUUUGUGAUUAUUAGAGGGUGUGGAAUUCCAAACAAUACCAUAUGGUGUCACAAAAAUCUCUUUGUAGAUUCCCUAAGAAUAUACAUGGUGGUGGAAGGAGCAUGCAACUCAUGUCUCGGGAAAUUAGAGGUCAUGAAUUUGAAUCUCUUUGUAGGCAAACACUUGUCAAUGUGAUUUAUAUGUGUUGAUGCACAGCCUCAUCUAGGUUCAUAGGUUUAUGGAGUAUUUAUGGCACUCAAAAUCUUACAAUCAAGGGCUACAUCCAAUAUGAUUGUGCUAGUACUCCCUUCAUCAUUAAAUGGAAAAAAAGGAAAUAAACCAAAACUCUUUCUAGGGUACGUACAAUGUGUCUAAUGUGAGAGUUCACUGCUACUAGUUUUAUGAUCUAUCCCCAUAUGCCCCUUGUAAUAAUUGUAGUGUGAUGAUAGUGCCAUGACACGGGCGAGAAACUGGGCUUCUGUCAUGUAGAAGGUCGUAGCCUGUGCAGAAGCUUUUUGAGAUAUAUCAUGCCUAAUAUAUUGGUACUUUCUCGAGCAGUUCAAGAUGAAAAUGUCAAGGUGCUCUAUGUGUCCAUCUCAUAUUAGGAUAUUAACUCAAAUAUUGAAGUUCACUUUAGGGUUAAUUCACCAGCCAAAACGCAGUUUUUCCAUUUCCGGGUUUGUGCUAAAGAUGCCUUAUGUGCAUAGAUUGUAUUUUAAUUGCUUUUACCCUCUGGACCAGUGAGAUUUUGUUGAUAAACCAAAUAUGAGACAAUUGAAAACAAUUACUGUUGUAACUGCAUUCUCAGAAACUACAAAAGAAGACUGCUGUAGCUUCCUGUACUAUCUAUUAAGGGGCAUUGCUAUUGCAUUAAUAGUGUUCCGUAAGAGAAAAGAUGGACAUUACGUUUGUUUCCGUUUGAAUAGGUAGCUGCGUAAUGGCCCGUUUCCUUUAUUGGUAUUAUGAGCUGCAACUUCUUCAUUUGGUAGAAAUGCAAAUGCAUCACAGUUGUAAUAAAAUUUAAAUGCGAACUCCGUUUAUGGUAAGAGCCGUGUAUGAUGGCAUGUCGUCUGCCACGUGCCGUUCACUCCGUCCUGUGACCUAGCAUUCUAUUCUCCACACUGUUUGAUUUUAGGGGUGGAUAGCAUUAUAUAUAGCCCCUUCCUCUCAUUCCUUUCAUCACCAUGACAUAAUCUCUUCAUUUUGUUGGCAAUCUCCUUUCCUCCUCUGCUCCUCAUGGAUCUAAAGCCUGAGUCCAAACCCAUGAAAGCCCGUCGAGAUAGAGGCCCGAAAAUGUACAAGGGUGUCCGGAUGAGGGAGUGGGGCACAUGGGUUUCCGAGAUUAGGGUCCCGAAAACUGGAGAAAGAAUUUGGUUGGGCUCUUUUGACGACCCGAAGAAGGCAGCUCGAGCCCAUGAUGCUGCUCUGUAUUGUCUCCAGGGUGAAAAUGCAGUGUUUAAUUUCCCAAAUGAGAAGAGGCCCGUCGGCCUCGUACCUUCUUCUGGCUCCUCAUUUAAAAAAGAUAUAAAGGAGAUUGCGAACACUUUUGCAUCACUGAAUGAUUCAGAAAAUCCUGUGGAUAUUCAAGUACCAGGCAACGUGCAGGAUUUGCCAUACAUUCCUGUCAUUGGUGAAAUGGAAGCUGCUGGCACAGGGGUUUCUGAACCAUCAGUGUCCACUAUGAUCGCUGACGAUCUUCCGGAAAAUUUGUUUACUGAUGAUUGGCUGUCUAUGGCCAUGGGUUUGCUUAAUGAUUAAUUUCAUUGUCUAGUCGUGUUGUUAGGCAUUUACAAUCCAGUUCCGUUUGGGUGUCAUUAGGUUAGUUGUUUGAAGGUUGUAUUGCUAAUCAAAAGGAAAACAAAGAGGUUGUAUUGUUUGGAUAAGUGUUAGUGAUGUUCCUUGUUAUGUGCUUUUUA
This is a non-coding RNA of Punica granatum (pomegranate), 2448 nucleotides long. The record is from RefSeq and is a predicted model, not a curated record. Lineage: Eukaryota; Viridiplantae; Streptophyta; Magnoliopsida; Myrtales; Lythraceae.